UUGGCAACUCUGAAUGCUGAAGUCCUCUGAUUAGCCACCGAGCAGGUACAGCCUGGCAAGGGCGGGGGUAGCUUUCCCCACACGCUGUCUCCUGCCAAGGUGCUAGCUCGGAACGUAAAGAGGACCCCUGCUAGAAGGGGGAGGGGGUUCAGUCUCCGUGGCCCAUUCAGUCCGUGGACUCU
RNAcentral lists this small RNA (182 nucleotides) under Chrysemys picta bellii (western painted turtle). Its description in RNAcentral is "TUC338 (ENSCPBG00000018493.1)". Lineage: Eukaryota; Metazoa; Chordata; Testudines; Emydidae. The record is from RNAcentral.